UGGGGAAUAUUGCGCAAUGGGGGCAACCCUGACGCAGCCAUGCCGCGUGAAUGAAGAAGGCCUUCGGGUUGUAAAGUUCUUUCGGUAGCGAGGAAGGCAUUUAGUUUAAUAGACUAAGUGAUUGACGUUAACUACAGAAGAAGCACCGGCUAACUCCGUGCCAGCAGCCGCGGUAAUACGGAGGGUGCGAGCGUUAAUCGGAAUAACUGGGCGUAAAGGGCACGCAGGCGGUGACUUAAGUGAGGUGUGAAAGCCCCGGGCUUAACCUGGGAAUUGCAUUUCAUACUGGGUCGCUAGAGUACUUUAGGGAGGGGUAGAAUUCCACGUGUAGCGGUGAAAUGCGUAGAGAUGUGGAGGAAUACCGAAGGCGAAGGCAGCCCCUUGGGAAUGUACUGACGCUCAUGUGCGAAAGCGUGGGGAGCAAACAGGAUUAGAUACCCUGGUAGUCCACGCUGUAAACGAUGUCGAUUUGGGGGUUGAGCUUUAAGCUUGGCGCCCGUAGCUAACGUGAUAAAUCGACCGCCUGGGGAGUACGGCCGCAAGGUUA
This 547-nucleotide ribosomal RNA is filed under the name uncultured bacterium. RNAcentral describes it as "bacterial SSU rRNA". It matches the Rfam family "Bacterial small subunit ribosomal RNA", at positions 355 to 896 of the family's 1533-position model. The record is from RNAcentral.